AACAUUUUCAGAGGGGUGUGGUGUCCAAAGAGUUUACACCGUACACAUGUUUAAGAUCAGAAAACAUGGAAGAUUCUUGUUUUUCGAGGGAUGGGGCAAUCUGAUUAACAUAAACUCUCCUCUUUCGUACGCCUCUGAACACACAAAAACACAAACACACACACACACACGCAUGCACAUGAAGAGAGUGUCUGACAAAAUUCAAGCGAAAAGUCGAUGAGGUCAUCAAUCACAUGCAACAACCGCGAGGGAGGGUAGAAGAGGAGAGUGUGUGUGUGUGCGUGUGCUUGAGCGGAGAGAGAGGAGCUUGAGGAAGCCAAUCCUUGGAUUAGAACCCUCUAGUACCGGCGGUGGCGAUGGACCAUGCCCGAACUAUUUAUUUGGCUGGUUCCUAUGUGGGUACCUUUAAAAAAAUUUUGCUCUGUAUACUCUACAGCCCACCAGGCAUCAGCCACCGAACUAGUUAGUUUGGGAUGCAACGUCUCACCAGUAGACGAAUGAACGAAAAAGCAUGAGAGAAAAAUGAAGACAGGUAGCUAAAAAUGAGGCUGUCCUGCUCUUUUUCCUUUCCUUUUCUGUUUUCGGAUAAAGACGAGAACUCAGUGAGAAGUACAAAAAGUUCCGCUUCAAUAGUGUUUAUAAUUAUUCAAGCUUUAAAGGCUCAAUGAAGAAGUAGAGGAGGAAUAAGCAGCCUAACUUAAUCGUGUUAGUAAAGAAACAGUGAUAUCCAGUGAAAUAGAAAACGGACAGGGGCAAAAAGUCGCAAAAUUGUUCACUGUAUUAACAGUCUAGGAACUAAAACAGCUAGAUAAGGAAAUAAGCAGCUCCAAUAGAGAUUUAUACGUAAAUAUGUUUGAAAUUAAGAUGUUAUUACCUAUUCUAAUAGUGUUGCUUUUACAGAUUGAUGCAAUCAAAAAUAAGGGAAAUCGGCGUUAUAUUUAUUUAUUAUAUUUAUGUUUUAUAGAUGAAGUACAAUUAAGGAAAGCACUUCAACAGCAAAAAAAACACCUUUUUUCAAGAUAAUGUAAUUCCUAACAAAAAUAACAACCAAAUUAAUACUGAUACAGAAUGAAAGACAAAAUAAAAUACAUAUAUAAAUUUAGUAACCUACUGUAAAAUUUCACUGCCUUCUAAGUGGGUACCGAUUUCACUAGCUACAAGCUGGGUACCCAUUUCACUGCCUACUAGAUGGGUAAAAAUGUAAAUGAUGAAAGGCAUUGUUAA
This is a long non-coding RNA of Drosophila miranda, 1224 nucleotides long. RefSeq lists it as uncharacterized. The record is from RefSeq and is a predicted model, not a curated record. Lineage: Eukaryota; Metazoa; Arthropoda; Insecta; Diptera; Drosophilidae. The transcript has 2 exons.